AAUUUUGAUGAAUUAAAAGUACAGAUUCUAAUCUUUGUUGGAAUCUGACACUUCACCAAAAAACUGAAUUAUUUAUCAAAUACUUGAUUUGCAUAUAUAUUAGCAAGUCGUGGUGGCCGCCUUGUGUCGGCUUAAGAAUGCUCGAGGAACGUCAAGCUCAUUUUAGAUAUGUACAGGAAGAAGUGUAUAAGAAGAAGAGGAGGAGGAGAAAGAAGAAGAAGAAGCAAGUAAAAGAGAAAGGAUAAAUAGAAACCAGUGCUUUUGCAAUUGCUCAAGAAUUCCUUAAACGAGUAUUUCAUCAAUCAGAUUUCUUUUUCUACGUCUCCAGCGGCUACCAAGCGAUAUUAAACUUGCGUUGCCAUCCGACCACGAGAAACUCGAAUCCAGACGCUCAAGGGGAAAUGCACGAGCUACGACCAGAGAAGACCACUGAGCAAGGAGUCAACUCCUGUGGGGGCAACAGGAUCAUCAGAGUAAGGGAUAGAGAAUGCCUGGGAAUUAAACGCUUUUUGUUAUCCGACAAGAAGUUCUGAUGUAUACUUAAUUACCGUGGUGUAUAAGGAUACGCCAACGACCUUACUAUGAGUUUCAUGGAGGGAGUUAAUGGGCCGAAUCACGGAGUUGUGUUGUAAUGCAGUGCGUGCCGUAUAAUUUAGGAAACUUGCUCCUUAUGGUAAUUGUGUAUCCUAAUUAUACGUCGCCAGAAUCUGUGAAUUAUUUCGAUGAAAAACAGAAACUUUAGAUCUAUAUAUAUAAAUGUAUAUAUAGUACGCUAUUAAACAAGUCAACAUGACAUGAUGAUGAUGAUGAUGAUCAAAUGAAUCUUUAAUAGAACUGGCAAAGCACAUGAAGCUUCAUACAUGAUGCCUUUCAUCUCAUUCUACGUUCAUUCACUGAGAUAAUACCAAAUUCCUCGGGCGUUGCCGAUGCUGAGGAUCGCGACGACGGCAUUAAUUCCCGCGUAGUAACGAGCACAUGUCUAAAGCAAAGGAUGAGGUUAGUAGAACGGGUGCACACGUCUAUUCGCAGGACAGAUAGGAGGUUGAUGCCUUUGCAAGCCUGCCAUUAAUUACUCCAACGCACCACUCCAUCUAUGCGAAAAUGCAUCUGCGAUACUAAGCCCCCUGCAUACUCUUCUUGUCAUUCUCUUCUAAUAUCUUCUAAACCUUUGACGACAGAAAAUCGUGCUCACAAUGAAGCUAUCAAAAGCCUUGGAACUUUAAUCACUGUUACUAUUUCUAUAACAAAAUUACUCUUACCUUUUGAAAAUAAUUAUGUCUAGUUUAUCUCCCCUGGUAGACAUUAUUAUUAUUACCUUUAUUAUU
Chelonus insularis is the source of this 1325-nucleotide long non-coding RNA. RefSeq lists it as uncharacterized. The record is from RefSeq and is a predicted model, not a curated record. NCBI's taxonomy places the organism in Eukaryota, Metazoa, Arthropoda, Insecta, Hymenoptera, Braconidae. The transcript has 3 exons.